GGUCCAUUAGCGCAGUGGUUAGAGCGAACGACUUAUAAUCGUUAGGUCUCAGGUUCAAACCCUGAAUGGACCACCA
This 76-nucleotide transfer RNA is filed under the name Mollicutes bacterium. RNAcentral describes it as "tRNA-Ile". It matches the Rfam family "tRNA". From Rfam's summary of the family: Transfer RNA (tRNA) molecules are approximately 80 nucleotides in length. Their secondary structure includes four short double-helical elements and three loops (D, anti-codon, and T loops). Lineage: Bacteria; Bacillati; Mycoplasmatota; Mollicutes. RNAcentral also lists the same sequence under 2 other names. The record is from RNAcentral.